RNAcentral lists this unclassified non-coding RNA (251 nucleotides) under Diplodia intermedia. RNAcentral's name for it is "partial internal transcribed spacer region". The stretch from base 1 to 46 matches the Rfam family "Eukaryotic small subunit ribosomal RNA", at positions 1786 to 1831 of the family's 1831-position model. The record is from RNAcentral. Lineage: Eukaryota; Fungi; Ascomycota; Dothideomycetes; Botryosphaeriales; Botryosphaeriaceae.
AAGUCGUAACAAGGUUUCCGUAGGUGAACCUGCGGAAGGAUCAUUACCGAGUUCUCGGGCUUCGGCUCGAAUCUCCCACCCCUUUGUGAACAUACCUCUGUUGCUUUGGCGGCUCUUUGCCGCGAGGAGGCCCUCGCAGGCCCCCCCGCGCGCUUUCCGCCAGAGGACCUUCAAACUCCAGUCAGUAAACGUCGACGUCUGAUAAACAAGUUAAUAAACUAAAACUUUCAACAACGGAUCUCUUGGUUCUG